GGAGUGAACGCUGGCGGUAGGCCUAACACAUGCAAGUCGAACGGCAGCACAGUGGUAGCAAUACCAUGGGUGGCGAGUGGCGGACGGGUGAGGAAUACAUCGGAAUCUACCUUUUCGUGGGGGAUAACGUAGGGAAACUUACGCUAAUACCGCAUACGCCCUUUGGGGGAAAGCCGGGGAUCGCAAGACCUGGCGCGGAUAGAUGAGCCGAUGUCGGAUUAGCUAGUUGGUGAGGUAAUGGCUCACCAAGGCGACGAUCCGUAGCUGGUCUGAGAGGAUGAUCAGCCACACUGGAACUGAGACACGGUCCAGACUCCUACGGGAGCAGCAGUGGGGAAUAUUGGACAAGUGGGCGCAAGGCCUGAUCCAGCCAUACCGCGCGGG
RNAcentral lists this ribosomal RNA (384 nucleotides) under uncultured soil bacterium. Its description in RNAcentral is "bacterial SSU rRNA". It matches the Rfam family "Bacterial small subunit ribosomal RNA", at positions 27 to 405 of the family's 1533-position model. The record is from RNAcentral.